GGGGCUGUAGUCUAACUUGGCAUGAUUAGCGGUUCGGGACCGCUCGGUCGGGGUUCAAAUCCUCGCAGCCCCA
This 73-nucleotide transfer RNA is filed under the name Nanobdellota archaeon. Its description in RNAcentral is "tRNA-Pro". It matches the Rfam family "tRNA". Rfam says of the family: Transfer RNA (tRNA) molecules are approximately 80 nucleotides in length. Their secondary structure includes four short double-helical elements and three loops (D, anti-codon, and T loops). Lineage: Archaea; Nanobdellati; Nanobdellota. The record is from RNAcentral.